UUUCCGUUGGUGAACCAGCGGAGGGAUCAUUACAGGACUCGCAAGACUCCUUCACCCUGUGAACCUCACUACAAGCACGUUGCUUCGGCGGGUGUCCCGGCGGGGGUUUUCCCUCGCCGGGGCGCACAGCCCGCCGGCAGCCUACUAUACUCUGUCUCUUUGCGUUGGCAUCUCGAGAAAAAACAAACAAGUUAAAACUUUCAACAACGGAUCUCUUGGUUCUG
This 224-nucleotide unclassified non-coding RNA is filed under the name plant metagenome. Its description in RNAcentral is "partial contains small subunit ribosomal RNA, internal transcribed spacer 1, and 5.8S ribosomal RNA". The record is from RNAcentral.